This is a long non-coding RNA of Neofelis nebulosa (Clouded leopard), 513 nucleotides long. RefSeq lists it as uncharacterized. The record is from RefSeq and is a predicted model, not a curated record. Lineage: Eukaryota; Metazoa; Chordata; Mammalia; Carnivora; Felidae. The transcript is spliced from 2 exons.
GAUGUCACCCCUCCUCUGGACCCAUCCUCUGCUCCAUCUGGACCCAGGAAGCAGGUGAGACACUCUGUGAGACAGGCUGGAGUUCCAACUUUGCCUAAAAAAGGAAGUGGCUGAGCCAAGCUGGAGGAGCUGGGGCAGGAACAAGCGAGAAGUGUGUCCCCGCCGCCCCCACCCCCUCGAAGGGAGUCUUGGCAGUGGUGGUGCUGGCUCAGCUCCACAGGCCUCAGGACUCUGCUGGGACCAGAAACUGCCCGGUGCUUCCGCUUGGGCCUGUGCGGGUGGUGGGGGCAAUGGGCUCCCGCCCCUGAAGUCCAGGGUAUGCCUCCCGGAGGGGCCUGGCCUGGCCCCCAGCCCCGAAGCACAGGAGGCUGACCAGGACUGGGGCCGAAGGGGACAGUGAGCGGAGGCCAUGGUGAGGCCGCAGCAGCUGGAGGAGGCCUGGGGCUCCAGCCAAGAGCUGGCCCGGGGGUGCUGGGGUUGAGGUGCCAGGUUAACAUGUACAAACGCUCCUUG